ACAUCCAGAGAAUUUAGCAGAGAUGCUUUAGUGCCUUCGGGAACUCUGAGACAGGUGCUGCAUGGCUGUCGUCAGCUCGUGUUGUGAAAUGUUGGGUUAAGUCCCGNAACGAGCGCAACCCUUAUCCUUUGUUGCCAGCACGUAAUGGUGGGAACUCAAAGGAGACUGCCGGUGAUAAACCGGAGGAAGGUGGGAUGACGUCAAGUCAUCAUGGCCCUUACGAGUAGGGCUACACACGUGCUACAAUGGCGCAUACAAAGAGAAGCGACCUCGCGAGAGCAAGCGGACCUCAUAAAGUGCGUCGUAGUCCGGAUUGGAGUCUGCAACUCGACUCCAUGAAGUCGGAAUCGCUAGUAAUCGUAAAUCAGAAUGUUACGGUGAAUACGUUCCCGGGCCUUGUACACACCGCCCGUCACACCAUGGGAGUGGGUUGCAAAAGAAGUAGAUAGCUUAACCUUCGGGAGGGCGUUUACCACUUUGUGAUUCAUGACUGGGGUGAAGUCGUAACAAGGUAAGCGUAGUGCU
RNAcentral lists this ribosomal RNA (525 nucleotides) under uncultured bacterium. RNAcentral describes it as "bacterial SSU rRNA". It matches the Rfam family "Bacterial small subunit ribosomal RNA", at positions 984 to 1509 of the family's 1533-position model. The record is from RNAcentral.